CCUACGGGUGGCAGCAGUGAGGAAUAUUGGUCAAUGGGCGAGAGCCUGAACCAGCCAAGUCGCGUGAGGGAGUACUGCCCUAUGGGUUGUAAACCUCUUUUGUCGGGGAGCAAAAGCCGGACGUUUCCGGCUGUGAGAGUACCCGAAGAAAAAGCAUCGGCUAACUCCGUGCCAGCAGCCGCGGUAAUACGGAGGAUGCGAGCGUUAUCCGGAUUUAUUGGGUUUAAAGGGUGCGCAGGCGGAUUUUUAAGUCAGCGGUAAAAUCGUGGGGCUCAACCCCAUCCAGCCGUUGAAACUGGGGAUCUAGAGUGUGCGAGAGGUAUGCGGAAUGCGUGGUGUAGCGGUGAAAUGCAUAGAUAUCACGCAGAACCCCGAUUGCGAAGGCAGCAUACCGGUGCACAACUGACGCUCAGGCACGAAAGCGUGGGUAUCGAACAGGAUUAGAUACCCGUGUAGUC
Molecule: ribosomal RNA, 458 nt
Filed under: uncultured bacterium
Lineage: Bacteria
Description: partial 16S ribosomal RNA
Rfam family: Bacterial small subunit ribosomal RNA
Source: RNAcentral